Molecule: long non-coding RNA, 452 nt
Organism: Lacerta agilis (Sand lizard)
Lineage: Eukaryota; Metazoa; Chordata; Lepidosauria; Squamata; Lacertidae
Exons: 4
Source: RefSeq, a predicted model, not a curated record
GGGGGGGUGAAACAAAAGUUCAAGUCCAAAGCUUCAUAAGAUAACAUCAGUCACAGUAGCUUGGCUGUAGUUCCACAUGGAGGCUGGAGACUCAUCUUGCACAAACAGCCCAGAAAAAGGAACCCUUGGUGGAAGCAGCAGGACUUAUAGUGACCAGGAAAACGAUAUAAAAGAAUCUGCAACACAGAGGAAAGAGGACCUUGGCGCUCCAUUCCCAAGCAAGUACUCAAAGAAGCAAAAAACAGGCCAAAUCUGAUGUUUCCCUGGUUUACCAGAAGAUGGCGCUGAAGAAUAAGUGUUCCUUGAAAUGUUCUCAUUCGGUACCAGUGUGGGUGGUAGAACAAACAGGUCCCGGAGUGGAGUUGCAUCUUGCAAAAUUCAAUGCAGAACUUUUGAUCGCUGAAACUGCUGAACAAAUAAAAUGUUCUUGAGAUAUAGUAGAAUGCAAGUAC